Molecule: long non-coding RNA, 317 nt
Organism: Camarhynchus parvulus
Lineage: Eukaryota; Metazoa; Chordata; Aves; Passeriformes; Thraupidae
Exons: 3
Source: RefSeq, a predicted model, not a curated record
AGACAAACAUAUUGAAAUUGUGUAGAAGACUCCUGAGGGCAAAAGAAAGAAGAUAUAUCCGGUGGCAGAAUGAAGAGAUUACAUAACCUGAUCUCCAAGUCAUUUACAGAUAUGUGUAGUGACAGAGAAGUUCUAAAAAGACCAGGCGUUUUCUACAGAAUUUUUUACUUAUUUCCAAUUUGAAGGAAGCUUGCUUUUCCUCUGAUGUCCAGUUUGGAUGCUGAAGGAAGAAGAAUGUGGUCCUGCAAUCCCUCCCCACAUGCAAACUCACAUUUUAACCUCUAGGAUCACUUUGCCUGAAAUCCAGCGUUUUGACA